This is a long non-coding RNA of Anolis carolinensis (green anole), 7423 nucleotides long. RefSeq lists it as uncharacterized. The record is from RefSeq and is a predicted model, not a curated record. NCBI's taxonomy places the organism in Eukaryota, Metazoa, Chordata, Lepidosauria, Squamata, Anolidae. The transcript has 5 exons.
CGCAAACCCAGUCAGUUACUGGCAACAAGUGGCUGGUUUCCUCUCUGGGUUUUGGUGUGGAAUGUCUGUGUAUUGUUUGGCACAAUCAAGUUCUGUGAAGAGGUGCUAAUCACUUCAGCCUGGCAGCAUUUAGCACCUCUCUGGUGGUGCUAAGCACAAUUCAUUAAAGUGGCAUUUGGAGAUGGUGGUGGCCAUGGAAGACAUUGUUGUGUUCCUCCUUUCCAGGAAAGGGGAUAGUUACUUCGUUCACACCUAUUUGGUUUAGAUCUUUAUCCUCUUUCACCUGGUGGCUAUUACGGAUGACAUCUGAAAAUGGGUAUAGGUUGUGUGUCUGUGCCUUCAAAUUGCCUGUCGAUUUAUGAUGACCCCAUGAAUUACAUGGGGAUUUUAAGGCAAUUUUGCCAGUUUCUUUAUAAGGCUAAAGGCCUUGUAAAACUAUAAUUAUUUAUUAUUUAUUUAAAGUAUUUAUAUUCGGGACUUCUCACCCUGCAGGACUCAGGGCGGAGCACAACAUAUAUAAGGCAAGCAUUCAAUGCUGUAUAACUCCCACUUUCUAAUGCAUUGAACUGCAGCAGUUAAAGUGGUAUCGAACUGCAUUAAUUCUAUAGUGUAGAUAAACCCAUUGUCUCUAACUAUUUUUCAUAUGUGUUAAUAGACUAUUGAUCCUGCCAUCUUUUCCCACCAACAUUGGACCACCAAGAAAUACCAAAUUCUCUGGAUUGUAUUUCAGAGAAAGGAACUGGCAAAACGACCCUUGAAUGAUCCUUGUCUGAGAAAACCCAGUGAAAUCCCUGAGGUCCCAUAAGUAAACAGGCGAUGUGAAGGCACAUAAACAUAACCUUCCCUGAAUUAGUGAGAUAAGCUCAGUAGUAAACAAUUUAGAGAAAAAACCAGAAAUGUGUUCUUGACAACGGGACUGCAAUCUAGCAUAGAGAUGGAUUAGUCAGUAGGUACAGUAGAGUCUCACUUAUCCAAGCUAAAUGGGCUGUCAGAACCUUGGAUAAGCGAGUAUCUUGGAUAAUAAGGAGGGAUUAAUGAAAAGCCUAUUAAACAUCAAAUUAGGUUAUGAUUUUACAAAUUAAGCACCAAAACAUCAUGUUAUACAACAAAUUUGACAGAAAAAGUAGUUCAAUACGCAGUAAUGUUAUGUUGUAAUUACUGUAUUUAUGAAUUUAGCACCAAAAUAUCACGAUAUAUUGAAAACAUUGACUCCAAUGCAUUGGAUAAUCCAGAACCUUGGAUAAGCGAGUCUUGGAUAAAUGAGACUCUACUGUACUGAGUUUUGGAGCAGGCCUAUAUUCUUUCCAUGGGCAACUGGAGACUGAGAAUUAGGCAGGUUAUCUCAGUCUUCUAAACAGGAGGAGGGACUUUUGAUUCUCCACUUACAGUACUUUAGAUUUCAAGUUCCAGAAUUCCAAGUCAGCAGUGAUGAUAGGAGUGGAAGUUCAAAAUAUCUGGAUACUAAAGUUCUAAAGACAGUCUUCCCUCCAGAUGUGAUGGAUUACAACUCCCACCAAUUCCAGCCAGCGUUACCAUGCUAGAAGGUGGGGGGCAUUGACUUCAACAAAUCCAGAAGACACUAGGUUGGGAAAGUCUAUCCAAAGGAACUUUCAGUCCCACCUUCCUAACUCAUAACAGCAUUCCCUCUUUCCAACAAAGUUUGGGCAAUGUUUCAGUCCACAAAGAGGUAGUCAGGAAUUGAGCUUGUGAAGCACUGUUUUCUCCCAGAGAUCAAGGCUUAAGUUACUUAUUCACUCAGCCUGACCUCAAAGGUCCCUUGCUUUGCACCAGUGGAAGUUGGCACAGUAGUUCCAAAAAAAAAAAAAACCCCAAAAAACAGAGUGGACAUGUAAACUGUCUUAUAUGCUGUGCAGAAGCUUCAAAUCCCAUGUGAUGUUGCAUGAGAAUAUAUGCUUGCUGUCCCCAAAGCAUUUAAGACUGUUAAAUCCAGGCUCAAUAUGAGUUGCAAGAGAUGUUUGUUUAGCUGAUGCUGCUGAUCUGGUCACUGUGUCCCACAAGAGGACUUCUCAGCCCCCAGCAGGGCCGGCCCCAAGUAAUUUUCAAGUGUAAGCAAGGAGUAUUUCCCCCCUCCCAAAAUCAAGUGCUACUUCGCUCUUUCUCCCCCCUCCCGGCUUUGGAGGGGCGGUGGGAGGGCGAGGGAGCCGCAGCAGCUUCUGUUGUUUUCCUACACCGCGACCUGGAAGGCUCCAAAGCUGGGGGGGGGGGAACGAAGGAGCACUCGUCCCCAUGCCGCGAGGCCGUGGCGUGGGAAAACAACAGAAGCUGCUGCAGGGCCUCGCGGCGUGGGGAUGGGUGCUCCUUCACGCUCCCCACUGGCUUUGGAGAGGCGGUGGGAGGGCGAGGGAGCUGCAGCCGCUUCUGUUGUUUUCCCGGCUUUGAUGCUCCUUCACUCUUUCCCCUCCCGGCUUUGGAGGGGCGGUGGAAGCCCAGCAGAGAGAGAAGCGGAGGCAAGCAGGCCGGCUUGGAGGCAGGCUAAUUGCGCUCUCAGAGGCGCCUCAACUGCACCCCCUAGAGGAUUGUGCCUUCCACAAUUGCAUAGUUCGUGUAUAGCUUGAGCCACCCCUGGCCCCCAGGGUGCCCUGCAAGCCACAAAGUGGGAAUGCAGAAAUAAUCGCAAACUGGUCAUGACGACAGAGACCAGCAUAUUAGACAGAAUUUGUUCAUAUAUGCCUAUAUCCUAUUCUUACUCCCAACUAAAGUAGAACCAUUGGAUCAAAUGGAUUAACCUCUGCAUUGACUCAUCACUCAACAAUUGACUUUAUACAUCUCCUUUAACUAGGGACUAACCAACAACCGGAUGAGAAAUUGUUCUCAGUACUUAGACAGCUAGCUGUAAUACUCUGUUGAGCACACAGAAAUCACAAGAAAAAGCCAAAGUUACUAAGGGAAUGUGAGCACAGCAGAUAGAAGAGGUCCAGGUAUGAUUCACUUGCAUUUCAUUCUUUUUUAGCAAUACUGGAAUUUUGGAGACUGAAAUAAAAUUUCAAGAAGGUACAGAAUUCAUACUUGGGGGAUAAUGUCCUUAUUUUGUCUCCCAAAACAACAGCUAUACUUAGGCCAACCCUGUUGGUUGCCUGGCGUGACUUCUUUAUUGACUUUGUAGUCACCUUAUCACUGAGACAUUGGGGAGAAUAACAAGAAUGUUUCCUCACUUUAAUCCUAAAGGCAGCCCUGCCAAGACUGUCACUAUGACUCCCAUUUUAUAGGAGGAUAACUGAGGCUGACUUGCUCAAGGCCACCCAUCAAGUGUGUGGCUGGAGCCAUGGGAUGAAGAACUCAGGCCUCCUGGGGCAAAGCUGAGUGGCCUCACCGGGUACAAAACUAUUCAACUUCCUUGACGAUAGGGACUCUUUGCUAUCCAUUUUCCACAAAGGAAGAUUAAAGGUGUGCCCUCCAGUCUUCUCAGCCUGUAAACCAAUUUGUUUAAAUGCCCGUAAGAAAAGUCUACUGCCACAACACACAGCCCAGCACAUAACCCACCCCACUGAUUGUAUUCUGUGUUAAAUAGCAUGGCUUUAAAAGAAACAGAGAGGAAAAAAUGCCAUUCCUAAUUCGCAUCCCAUGUGUAAACAGCUUGAGAAAGGCUUAAUGCUACAUCAAUCUGCUUUUUAUAAACAUGCUGUCUAUUAUGCUUGGAGGCUGGCUUAAAGCAGCCUGAAUGGGAGAGAAGGAACACAUCAAGUUAGUGAAGUGGAAAGGUUAAAGUACUGUAUAACCUAUUAACCUUUCAACAUGUGCCUUUGUCCUCCCCAGUCUGCUCUAAGAAUGUUAACUCUUUCCCGUUUCCCCCCUCAGAGCUGAAUUGUCACCCGCCUUGGACAUAAGUGAUUUCAUUUUUGCCUGGCUCGCAUACUGUGUGGCUAUUCUGAUCCCGUUUCAAUGGAAAGUAGCAGUUAGUUAUUUAUCCAUUCAAUUGCUUCUUAUGCUUAGUAGCUCGCAUGAUUCCUUUGGCUCAGGACACUAUGACAUUGUAUUUCAACUUUAAUUAACUUCUAAACAAACUUGUAAGACAGGUUAGCUUUCUCUCUCUGUCUUUCUUGGCAUGUCUUCUGGACCCUCAUCAGUUUGCAUGACGUAGAUGCUAACACAUGUGGCUUUCUCCAAUGCGGACAUGUAUUUUUACAUUCUACCAACUUCUGCUUUUCAUAUCACUGUUAAAGAUACAGCAGUCCAGCUGAGUGGGCCUAAUAUAUUUUACUGCCUGGGGUGAACCAGUAAAUGGCAUCCUGUACCUACUCAAAUCAAGGUGCGUAAUUUCCCAAAGUGGACAAGUUACUUUGUCUUUUGAGGUAGAAAGUCUUACAAGCACGACUUCUAAUUCAUGGCAGUGAAAUAAUACGUUCAUGUCUCACCUUUUCAUGGCACCUAAAACUUUCAAGCUGCAGAGGCUGCUUCACAGAAUGAGAGGACUGGAACCCAGCUCUAACUAUGGUACAGUAGAGUCUCACUUAUCCAAGCUAAACGGGCCGGCAGAAGCUUGGAUAAGCGAAUAUCUUGGAUAAUAAGGAGGGAUUAAGGAAAAGCCUAUUAGACAUAAAAUUAGGUUAUGAUUUUACAAAUUAAGCACCAAAACAUCAUGUUAUAAAACAGAUUUGACAGAAAACGUAGUUCAAUACGCAGUAAUGUUAUGUUGUAAUUACUGUAUUUAUGAAUUUAGCAUUAAAAUAUCACAAUAUAUUGAAAACAUUGACUACAAAAAUGGCUUGGAUAAUCCAGAGGCUUGGAUAAGCGAGGCUUGGAUAAGUGAGACUCUACUGUAUUCGGAAACCCUCAGAGGUAUUAUCUUGCCAUUAUGCUCCAUCCUUAAACCUCUCUUGCUAGCCACUCUCAAGCCUGCAGCUGCUUUUUAUGGGUGAGAAGAUAGAGAAUUCAGGCCACGAAGAUAUGGCUGCUUUGGGCUCCCAGGGGAAGGGAAAAGAGCAUGCACUUCAUCUCUGUGUGAACCUAAUUUCCCUUUCCCUCCCAGCUGAGUUCAGCUGUUACUUCCUAACCUGAUUCCUAUUCUCUCCCCAUCACUGCCAAGUAGUGGCAGCUGAUGAUUCUCCAGGGCUGGACUGCAACACUGUGGCAGCUUAUUAUUGGAUGCCAGCACAGCUAUGCAGCCAAGGAAGACCUUUGCCGAUGAUUCACAAAGGAAGGCAACAUUCAGAGACAUUCUGCCAGCUCUGCAAUAAAAUGGGUCCAAUGUGUUCUGGAUGAGUGAUGCUCCUGCAUGAUACCAUCCUUCCUUCCUUCCUUCUUGGAGAACUAUGAAAGUCUUGCUUGAAAAAUUGGCACUAGCAAAACAUUGAUCACUUUAGAAAAUGCUUGCCGCAAUACUUAAAACUGCACCUGCGAAACCCAAAAGCCACCUUGUAGCAAAUGGAAGGUCAGCCAAUUAAAUGCCUCAUGCCCCGUGAUUUCAGGCAUGAAUAUACAAGGUCUUGAAACAUCCAAUCUGCUAAGGAGGCAAGAUCUGAAAGCCAGUCCAGAGAUGGGGAAAUUAUGUUUUUGUACAACAACUUCCAUGAUGAGGAGGAAAAGACCUUUGAUCCCAGCAGUGAACCCUUCUCAUUUGUGGUUCCCAAAGGAAUUCUUGGAAAGGGUAAAGAUUGGCUACUCCUGCUCUUUUUAUACUUUUAUCUCCCACCAAGAGCAACAAGAAGGGGUUCUGGGUGGUGUUACCAUGAAAUGAGCCCGCACCUUGUAUUUUGAAGUGUCCCAGUUAUGAACCAGCCGGGCAGGAAUAAGAAAGUUGUCGUCCACGUGACAGAAACUGCAAUAGUACCAUCCACUGUAGCUGCAGACUUUUGCCUUGCCAUUGGACAGGCCUAUGGCACGCUGACAACCUGAUAACAGAAAAAUAAAGACUUGGUUGAAAGGCAGAGUUCUAACAUGCACUCAAACUCAAGCUUCACUAACAUAUUAAAAUGCAUCUUAAUAAUGGAACAUUUACACACCACUUGCAAGAAAAAUAACUUACUACCAAAAGAAACACAACAAUAGCUUCAGAUUGGAAAGAAAGAAUGAGGAUUAGUUGCAUGACACACUAUGCUAUUCAUACACUUAAUUUUUAACACCAUAUUUACUUAAACCUAAUCCCCACCCCUUUUUGGCUGAAUCCUUUUACCAAAAUUAGGGUGUGCAUUAGAUUCGCAUAAUACAGUCAUCUUAUUCUUGAGGCAAAGCAAAAGGGGAAGCUGCUUCAGGAACACCUGGAGCUCCUAUUUGAAGGAUGUCAUCUCUAAUUUAAUAGCCAGGGCUCAAUGCUAUGCAAUCCUGGGAUUUGUAGUUUGGUGAAGCAUCAAUAUUCUUUGGCAGAGAAAGAUGAAGGCCUUUUACAACUACAGUAGAGUCUCACUUAUCCAAGACUCGCUUAUCCAACGUUCUGGAUUAUCCAACGCAUUUUUGUAGUCAAUGUUUUUAAUACAUUGUGAUAUUUUGGUGCUAAAUUCGUAAAUACAGUCAUUACUACAUAGCAUUAUUGUGUAUUGAACUACUUUUUCUGUCAAAUUUGUUGUAUAACAUGAUGUUUUGGUGCUUAAUUUGUAAAAUCAUUAACCUAAUUUGAUGUUUAAUAGGCUUUUCCUUAAUCUCUCCUUAUUAUCCAACAUAUUCACUUAUCCAACGUUCUGCCAGCCCAUUUACGUUGGAUAAGCGAGACUCUACUGUACAUGAUUUCAUAACAUUGAGCCAGGGGAGUUAAAGUAGAUUUAUUCUACAGCAUAAAUGCACUCCAAGGUUUUAUUUUCGAUUGCUGGAAGCUUUGGCGUCCAAACACUUGUUUUCAAAGAAGGAAUUCUAAGCAGGCUGUAAUGUGCCCUUUUUUUGACCAAAUUACAGAGUUCACUUUUUGCUGCUACAUUACAUUUGGCAGGAAAUACUUAUUAAGUUUCAAGGUUUUGAAAAUGUACACAUUAGAUUUGAUGGCGCAUUAGAUUCAAGUAAUUAUGGAUAUAUUGCAGAAUUGCUUUAAGAAGUGUUAUACUUUACCAGUUUCACCCAAUUUGCAAUUUGCAGGACGAUCUAAAGCAGGGCAACUUAAUUUUUUCCACUUGCAACCCCAUUCCACCUGAUUAUUUUUUACAUGAUACCAGGCAUAGCAGGGUUGCUUACCGGUAACCAGGUUUCUUAAGAGUGGUCAUCUGUGGAAUCAGCACGUUUGGUAUUGAUUAUGGCUAAGCAAUGCUAUCAGAAACACUCAGCUGUGAAGCUUUGGCUAUAGCCCUACCCAACUUCCCUAGGAGGUAUAUAGGCCCUGGGUGGGGCUGCAGCUGCAGUUCCCCACCACCGAGCAGUGGAAGGAAAAGAGGCAUGACAAUUAGUGGGGAGGAUGCGCCGGGAUGUGCAGAUUCCACAGAUGGCCACUCAAAGAAACCUGGUUACAGAUAAGCAACCCUGCUUUCUCCUUCGCUGUAUCUGU